RNAcentral lists this ribosomal RNA (772 nucleotides) under Salmonella enterica. Its description in RNAcentral is "partial 23S ribosomal RNA". It matches the Rfam family "Bacterial large subunit ribosomal RNA", at positions 494 to 1164 of the family's 2925-position model. The record is from RNAcentral. Lineage: Bacteria; Pseudomonadati; Pseudomonadota; Gammaproteobacteria; Enterobacterales; Enterobacteriaceae.
ACCAGUACCGUGAGGGAAAGGCGAAAAGAACCCCGGCGAGGGGAGUGAAAAAGAACCUGAAACCGUGUACGUACAAGCAGUGGGAGCCCCACCACUAAGCCAGUGGUGAACUCCACAUACGCAUCCUUUGCUGAAGGCAAUGGUUAACGGAGCGAAAGCGACGUUCAACCGCAAAACAAGCAGAGGGGGCUUAGUGGUGGGGUGACUGCGUACCUUUUGUAUAAUGGGUCAGCGACUUAUAUUCUGUAGCAAGGUUAACCGUAUAGGGGAGCCGGAGGGAAACCGAGUCUUAAUUGGGCGUUAAGUUGCAGGGUAUAGACCCGAAACCCGGUGAUCUAGCCAUGGGCAGGUUGAAGGUUGGGUAACACUAACUGGAGGACCGAACCGACUAAUGUUGAAAAAUUAGCGGAUGACCUGUGGCUGGGGGUGAAAGGCCAAUCAAACCGGGAGAUAGCUGGUUCUCCCCGAAAGCUAUUUAGGUAGCGCCUCGUGAAUUCAUCUCCGGGGGUAGAGCACUGUUUCGGCUAGGGGGCCAUCCCGGCUUACCAACCCGAUGCAAACUGCGAAUACCGGAGAAUGUUAUCACGGGAGACACACGGCGGGUGCUAACGUCCGUCGUGAAGAGGGAAACAACCCAGACCGCCAGCUAAGGUCCCAAAGUCAUGGUUAAGUGGGAAACGAUGUGGGAAGGCCCAGACAGCCAGGAUGUUGGCUUAGAAGCAGCCAUCAUUUAAAGAAAGCGUAAUAGCUCACUGGUCGAGUCGGCCUGCGC